AACGAACGCUGGCGGCGCGCCUAAUACAUGCAAGUCGAGCGAGAAGACGUAGCAAUACGUUUGUAAAGCGGCGAACGGGUGAGGAAUACAUGGGUAACCUACCCUCGAGUGGGGAAUAACUAGCCGAAAGGUUAGCUAAUACCGCGUACGCUUCUUGGACUUCGGUUCAGGGAGGAAAGCGAUACCGUGGGUAUCGCGCUCUUGGAUGGGCUCAUGUCCUAUCAGCUUGUUGGGAGGUAACGGCUCACCAAGGCUUCGACGGGUAGCUGGUCUGAGAGGACGAUCAGCCACACUGGCACUGCGACACGGGCCAGACUCCUACGGGAGGCAGCAGUAAGGAAUAUUGCGCAAUGGGCGAAAGCCUGACGCAGCGACGCCGCGUGGGGGAUGAAGGUCUUCGGAUUGUAAACCCCUUUCGGGAGGGAAGAUGGAAUGGGGUAACCCAUUCGGACGGUACCUCCAGAAGCAGCCACGGCUAACUUCGUGCCAGCCGCCGCCGU
RNAcentral lists this ribosomal RNA (500 nucleotides) under uncultured bacterium. RNAcentral's name for it is "bacterial SSU rRNA". It matches the Rfam family "Bacterial small subunit ribosomal RNA", at positions 29 to 521 of the family's 1533-position model. The record is from RNAcentral.